Molecule: ribosomal RNA, 465 nt
Filed under: uncultured bacterium
Lineage: Bacteria
Description: partial 16S ribosomal RNA
Rfam family: Bacterial small subunit ribosomal RNA
Source: RNAcentral
ACCAGACUCCUACGGGAGGCAGCAGUGAGGAAUAUUGGUCAAUGGGCGGGAGCCUGAACCAGCCAAGCCGCGUGAAGGAAGAAGGCGCCAAGCGUCGUAAACUUCUUUUGUCGGGGAACAAAGGGCGCCACGUGUGGCGUUGUGAGUGUACCCGAAGAAAAAGCAUCGGCUAACUCCGUGCCAGCAGCCGCGGUAAUGCGGAGGGUGCAAGCGUUGUCCGGAAUCAUUGGGCGUAAAGAGUUCGUAGGCGGCAUGUAAAGUCAGGUGUUAAAGGCGCAGGCUCAACCUGUGUAUGGCACUUGAUACUUGCAAGCUGGAAUGCGGUAGAGGUAAAGGGAAUUCCUGGUGUAGCGGUGAAAUACUUAGAUAUCAGGAGGAACAUCGGUGGCGUAAGCGCUUUACUGGGCCGUAAUUGACGCUGAGGAACGAAAGCCAGGGUAGCAAAUGGGAUUAGAUACCCUGGUA